CAGCACCUCAAGUGGUCAGGAUGAUUAUUGGGCCUAAAGCAUCCGUAGCCGGCGCUGUAAGUUUUCGGUUAAAUCUGUACGCUCAACGUACAGGCUGCCGGGAAUACUGCAGCGCUAGGGAGUGGGAGAGGUAGACGGUACUCGGUAGGAAGGGGUAAAAUCCUUUGAUCUAUUGAUGACCACCUGUGGCGAAGGCGGUCUACCAGAACACGUCCGACGGUGAGGGGUGAAAGCUGGGGGAGCAAACCGGAUUAGAUACCCGCGUAGUCC
RNAcentral lists this ribosomal RNA (270 nucleotides) under uncultured archaeon. RNAcentral describes it as "partial 16S ribosomal RNA". It matches the Rfam family "Archaeal small subunit ribosomal RNA", at positions 477 to 747 of the family's 1478-position model. The record is from RNAcentral.